This 253-nucleotide ribosomal RNA is filed under the name uncultured bacterium. Its description in RNAcentral is "partial 16S ribosomal RNA". It matches the Rfam family "Bacterial small subunit ribosomal RNA", at positions 524 to 776 of the family's 1533-position model. The record is from RNAcentral.
UACGGGGGGGGUAAGCGUUGUUCGGAAUUACUGGGCGUAAAGGGCUCGUAGGCGGCCAACUAAGUCAGACGUGAAAUCCCUCAGCUUAACUGGGGAACUGCGUCUGAUACUGGAUGGCUUGGAUUUGGGAGAGGGAUGCGGAAUUCCAGGUGUAGCGGUGAAAUGCGUAGAUAUCUGGAGGAACACCGGUGGCGAAGGCGGCAUCCUGGACCAACAUUGACGCUGAGGAGCGAAAGCCAGGGGAGCAAACGGG